ACCCUCUUCGUCUAGUCGGUUAGGACGCCGCCUUUUCACGGUGGCAACGCAGGUUCAAGUCCUGUAGGGGGUA
Molecule: transfer RNA, 73 nt
Filed under: Sphingobacteriaceae bacterium
Lineage: Bacteria; Pseudomonadati; Bacteroidota; Sphingobacteriia; Sphingobacteriales; Sphingobacteriaceae
Description: tRNA-Glu
Rfam family: tRNA
About the family: Transfer RNA (tRNA) molecules are approximately 80 nucleotides in length. Their secondary structure includes four short double-helical elements and three loops (D, anti-codon, and T loops).
Source: RNAcentral